UCCCUGGUGGCUCAGAUGGUAAAGAAUCUGUCUGCUGUGCAGGUGACCCGGGUUCAAUCCCUGGGUGGGGAA
This 72-nucleotide transfer RNA is filed under the name Ovis aries (sheep). It matches the Rfam family "tRNA". From Rfam's summary of the family: Transfer RNA (tRNA) molecules are approximately 80 nucleotides in length. Their secondary structure includes four short double-helical elements and three loops (D, anti-codon, and T loops). Further hydrogen bonds mediate the characteristic L-shaped molecular structure. tRNAs have two regions of fundamental functional importance: the anti-codon, which is responsible for specific mRNA codon recognition, and the 3' end, to which the tRNAs corresponding amino acid is attached (by aminoacyl-tRNA synthetases). tRNAs cope with the degeneracy of the genetic code in two manners: having more than one tRNA (with a specific anti-codon) for a particular amino acid; and 'wobble' base-pairing, i.e. permitting non-standard base-pairing at the 3rd anti-codon position. The record is from Rfam by way of RNAcentral. Lineage: Eukaryota; Metazoa; Chordata; Mammalia; Artiodactyla; Bovidae.